GCAGUGGUAGAGGAGCAUUCUGCACGGGUUGAAGUCGUACCGUAAGGAGCGGUGGACUGUGCAGAAGAGAGAAUGCUGGCAUGAGUAGCGAAAGGUAGGUGAGAAUCCUACCCAUCGGAAGCCUAAGGUUUCCUGAGGAAGGCUCGUCCACUCAGGGUAAGUCGGGACCUAAGCCGAGGCUGAAAAGCGUAGGCGAUGGAUAACAGGUUGAAAUUCCUGUACUACCAAUAUAUGAUUGAGAGAUGGAGUGACACAGAAGGAUAGGCUAAGCACACCGUUGGUUGAGUGUGUCUAAGUAAGUAGGAAGUUUUUAUAGGCAAAUCCGUAAAAACAAUUCCGAGAUACGAAUGGGAGCGAAAAAUAAGUAGCGAAGUAGCUGAUUCCACGCUGUCAAGAAAAGCUUCUAUCGAGUAUAUUGGUACCCGUACCGCAAACCGACACAGGUAGGCAGGAUGAAAAUUCUAAGAUGAGCGGGAUAACCCUUGUUAAGGAACUCGGCAAAAUGACCCCGUAACUUCGGGAGAAGGGGUGCCGGAGGAGGUUUAGUCACUAGCUGACAAAAGCCUCAACCGGCCGCAGAGAAUAGGCCCAAGCGACUGUUUAGCAAAAACACAGGUCUCUGCUAAAUCGAAAGAUGAAGUAUAGGGGCUGACACCUGCCCGGUGCUGGAAGGUUAAGGGGAAGCGUUAGUCAUUUAUGACGAAGCGGCGAACUUAAGCCCCAGUAAACGGCGGCCGUAACUAUAACGGUCCUAAGGUAGCGAAAUUCCUUGUCGGGUAAGUUCCGACCCGCACGAAAGGUGUAACGAUUUGGGCACUGUCUCAACAAGGGACCCGGUGAAAUUGUAGUACUCGUGAAGAUGCGAGUUACCCGCGGCAGGACGGAAAGACCCCGUGGAGCUUUACUGCAAGCUGAUAUUGGAUUUUGGUAUUAUAUGUACAGGAUAGGUGGGAGACAAGAAAACCAGGGCGCCAGCUUUGGUGGAGUCAACCUUGGGAUACCACCCUUGUAAUACUGAAGUUCUAACCAUAGACCGUGAAUCCGGUCUUGGGACAUUGUCAGUUGGGCAGUUUGACUGGGGCGGUCGCCUCCAAAAGAGUAACGGAGGCGCUCAAAGGUUCUCUCAGCACGGACGGAAAUCGUGCGUAGAGUGUAAAGGCACAAGAGAGCUUGACUGCGAGAGAUACAUCUCGAGCAGGAACGAAAGUUGGACUUAGUGAUCCGGUGGUUCCGAGUGGAAGGGCCAUCGCUCAACGGAUAAAAGCUACCCCGGGGAUAACAGGCUUAUCUCCCCCAAGAGUCCACAUCGACGGGGAGGUUUGGCACCUCGAUGUCGGCUCGUCUCAUCCUGGGGCUGGAGUAGGUCCCAAGGGUUGGGCUGUUCGCCCAUUAAAGAGGCACGCGAGCUGGGUUCAGAACGUCGUGAGACAGUUCGGUCCCUAUCCGCCGUGGGCGCAGGAAAUUUGAAAGGAGUUGUCCCUAGUACGAGAGGACCGGGAUGAACAGACCUCUGGUGCAUCAGUUGUUCUGCCAAGAGCAUAGCUGAGUAGCUAAGUCUGGAAGUGAUAAGCGCUGAAGGCAUCUAAGCGCGAAGCACCCCUUAAGAUUAGAUUUCCCUUCCUUUAUGGAGUAAGACCCCAGAUAGACCAUCUGGUUGAUAGGCCUAAGGUGUAAGGACAGCAAUGUCUUUAGCUUACAGGUACUAAUAGGUCGAGGACUUGACCAA
RNAcentral lists this ribosomal RNA (1726 nucleotides) under Abyssisolibacter fermentans. RNAcentral describes it as "bacterial LSU rRNA". It matches the Rfam family "Bacterial large subunit ribosomal RNA", at positions 1222 to 2925 of the family's 2925-position model. Lineage: Bacteria; Bacillati; Bacillota; Clostridia; Eubacteriales; Clostridiaceae. The record is from RNAcentral.